Molecule: long non-coding RNA, 293 nt
Filed under: Rattus norvegicus (Norway rat)
Lineage: Eukaryota; Metazoa; Chordata; Mammalia; Rodentia; Muridae
Description: long non-coding RNA NONRATT003817
Source: RNAcentral
AAUAAAGCUAUGUGGGACAGCAUGAGGCCUGGCAUCAAGAAUCAUGAAGUGGCAUCAAGUUAAAAGUUAUACAGGAUGAGUGCUUGCAGGGAUGCAGGGCAGAGGUGCAGGCUCCGUUGGUCCAGCGGUGCACAGUGUAUGCUUGGAAGACGGAGACAAGCGCUAUAAACUUUUCUGUAUGAAAAGGAUACAAGAUGUUGUGGCGGUUUUUAAUGACCCUUCUAUUCAAACGAAACCAUUCUCUUCUAAGCAAUGGAUGAACAGUAUAGUAAAGGAGUUGUGAAAAAAAUGCA